This 89-nucleotide ribosomal RNA is filed under the name Nocardiopsis flavescens. Lineage: Bacteria; Bacillati; Actinomycetota; Actinomycetes; Streptosporangiales; Nocardiopsidaceae. The record is from RNAcentral.
CCCGGUUACUUUCCGAACCCGGUCGUUAAGUCUCCUUGCGCUGAUGGUACUGCCCUGUGGUGGGGUGGGAGAGUAGGUUGCUGCCACGG